Molossus molossus (Pallas's mastiff bat) is the source of this 1815-nucleotide RNA transcript. It is a transcript of the gene named RAD51 paralog B, with no coding region annotated. The record is from RefSeq and is a predicted model, not a curated record. NCBI's taxonomy places the organism in Eukaryota, Metazoa, Chordata, Mammalia, Chiroptera, Molossidae. The transcript has 10 exons.
CAUAUCUUCAGUCAUGGGUAGCAAGAAAUUAAGACGAGUGGGUUUAUCGCCAGAGCUGUGUGACCGUCUGAACAGACAUCAGAUUGUUACCUGUAAGGACUUUUUAUGUCUUUCGCCACUGGAACUUAUGAAGAUCACUGGCCUUAGUUAUCGAGGCGUCCAUGAACUUCUGUGUGUGGUCAGCAGGGCCUGUGCUCCACAGAUGCAAACGGCUUAUGAGAUAAAAGCUCAGAGGUCUGCUGCCCUCUCGCCAGCAUUCUUAUCUACAAGCCUUUCUGCUUUGGACGAAGCCCUGCGUGGUGGUGUAGCUCGUGGAUCCAUCACAGAGAUUACAGGUCCACCAGGCUGUGGGAAAACUCAGUUUUGUAUAAUGAUGAGUGUGUUGGCCACAUUACCCACUGACAUGGGAGGAAUGGAAGGAGCUGUUGUGUACAUUGACACCGAAUCAGCAUUUAGUGCUGACAGACUGAUUGAGAUAGCAGAAUCUCGUUUUCCCAGAUAUUUUAACACUGAAGAAAAAUUACGUUUGACAAGCAGUAAAGUUCAUCUGUAUCGGGAACUCAGCUGUGAUGAGGUUCUACAAAGGAUUGAAUCCUUAGAAGAAGAAAUUAUUUCAAAAGGAGUUAAACUUGUGAUUAUUGACUCUGUUGCUUCUGUGGUAAGAAAGGAGUUUGAUACACAGCUUCAGGGCAACAUGAGAGAGAGGAACAAGCUCUUGGCACGAGAAGCAGCCACCUUGAAAUAUCUGGCUGAGGAGUUUUUAAUCCCAGAAAAAAAUGACUUUUUAAUACAUGCAAGAGUCCACAUACUUUGUAGGCAAUCAAUAUUAACAAAAGAAAAAUCAAAGGAGCCUCCUGGGGAAAGUGACAUUUGAACUGGCUUUGCAAGAAGAAUGAGAGUUUGCUUGACACAGUUGGGGCAAGGGCAUUUCCAGCAGGGGGGCACCAUGAACAGUGAUGUGAGUCAUGGUUGUACAGGUGCACUUAUGUAAAGGAUCAUGUCCUAAUUUCCAACUCUGAAGCGCAUCAGCAGAAUUUUAUAACUGGAGUGUUUUGGACACUCUGGCUGCCAACCUUGCCAGGGGAUUUUACAAGUAUUUAAUGGGUCUGUCUCUGGCCCACAUGCAGUAGACCCAAGCUGUUCAAAAUGGUAGCUAGUAGACACCUGUGGUCUUUUAAUUUGAAUUAAUUGAGAUUAAAUUAAAAAAUUAGUCCUUCAGAUGCACUAACUGCAUUAUAGGUGCUUGGUGGCUACCAUACUGGAAGCACAGAUACGGAGCAUGUCCAUCAUUGCAGAACAUGCUGCUGGACAGCACUGUUAUGGACAGUUAACAAAUGACUAGAUAGAGGACUCUAGCAAAACAUUCACAGAGAAGAAGAGAAUAGUGAAAAAAAAAAAGUUUCCCAAGCUAACAAUGCUUUAAAAAACAGUGGGAAGCAGUUAUGGGAAAUUCUAAUCUAAUCACACUUUAAAAGGCCAGUUAGGCUUUUGUUUUUCUUUAUAGAUGAAAACUUCAGUUUAUUUGACUUGGAUAGGGAUACAAAGCCAAAAGCUUCAUAGGCUUGGGAAAUCACUUUAUGGAUAUAGAUUAAAAAUCAUCUACUAUGCCGCCUCCCUGCCCCCAUUAGCUUGGCUUGCCAAAACAAAUGGAGUCAGCAACUCUGGAUAGCCAGUCCUUGAUCGAGGCUCUGAACCGUUUAGACUGAUCAUUCAUUCGGCUCCCUCAAUCUAUUUACUUGUUCCUAUGCCCAUUUUCUGUUUCUCCUCUCACCGUUCUAGUUCAGGCACCAGCCAGUCACCUAUUUUGUGGGUAAG